Non-coding RNA from Chelonia mydas (Green sea turtle), 72 nucleotides. The record is from Rfam. Lineage: Eukaryota; Metazoa; Chordata; Testudines; Cheloniidae.
UCCUUGUUAGUAUAGUGGUGAGUAUCCCCGCCUGUCACGUGGGAUACCGAGGUUCAAUUCCCCGACGGGGAG